GUGAUUGGUCGGUGGUCCAGGAAGUAGGGACUUUCUGACUGGCUGAGUUAAAUUGAAGCUAGAGAACUAGUCUCACCUCCCCCAAGAGGUAGGGAAGCGUAGGUGGGUUCUGGGGUUCACAAAAUGAUCCUGUUUUGGGUAGUUUGUUCGCUUGGCGAUACUGGAAGCUGAAUCCAAGGGGUGUUUUGCACAGAGCUAGCUCUCCAAUCUUUUUUUUUUUUUUUUUUUUCUUUUGGAGACAAAAUCUCACUAAAUCGCUGAAUUACCCAGGCUGAGCGCGAAUUUGCGAUUCUCCAGCUUCAGCCUCCCAAGAUGCUGGAAUUACGGCUUGGGCCACGGAACCCGGCGGUUGGUUGGUUUCAUACAACCUUCGCUAGCAUUAAGAGAUAACUGAGAACGGGACGAGGAAAGAGAAAGGACAGCAGCAUAAAAGAGCGCUGAAUUCCAAGGCGGGAAAAGCAGUGCUACGGUACCGGAACAAGCGCGUUAAACAGACAUACACAAAAUACAGCCAGCUAGUAGAAAUUGAGCUCCAGAUCCCCCGCAAACAUUCUGGUGACUGCGGAUGUGUCUUUAGUUCUGUGAAGCUAUCAGCAGGACUUUAUCCUUGAGAAUUAUCCUCUGGGAUUACGGUUCAGUGGUGACUACGUCUUCUUCUACAGACUGUUGAUACCCAACUUUCUAUUCGUGUUGUUACAUAAAGCGUAAUCAAUAUUUUGUUUGUUCGUUCGUUUGCUUCCAAUACUAGAAAGCGAGCCCAGGUGCUCUGCCCCGAGUUACAUCCCUGACCCUUUUUUUAAAAUAGGGGUUCACUACCCAGUCUGGGCUCAAACUUGCGAUUGUGCGAGCGCGGGUGUGCCAGGGAGGUGCCACCAUACUGGGUCACAUAACGUUUAAUUGAAAUUCAUGCUCUGCGCCUUCACUUCUCUACAGUUCCUUAAUUUCAACUGUUCUAAGUAUAUCCAAGUUGUUGUGGGAAAAAAACUAUCAUUGCAAGUUAAGAGCCCACCCUUUUAUCAAAACCAAAAAAAAAAUUUUUUUUUACCUUUUUUUUUAGCCACCUUUUAUCUCUUUCCUGUCUGUCACAUUUUGUUCCUUUUUCCACAUCUCCUGAGCCAAAGUUUCCCCUUCUGGUUCCCCUCAAUUUAAAGCAAUGUUUGUCAAGCACAUGUUUCCCAAGCUGCUGCUGGGAAAUAAUAAAUAAAUACAAACCACA
This is a long non-coding RNA of Cavia porcellus (domestic guinea pig), 1216 nucleotides long. RefSeq lists it as uncharacterized. The record is from RefSeq and is a predicted model, not a curated record. Lineage: Eukaryota; Metazoa; Chordata; Mammalia; Rodentia; Caviidae. The transcript is spliced from 2 exons.